GAACUUGUCUCCAGCACUGCGGACACCCGGGUGACACAUUCUUUCGGAGAGGGAGGGCAAGACUUUUCUCCGGAGCCUCUGGCAACUCGUGGAGUCUAUAUAAGAUCUUCAAAGAAAGAGAUACCCUUUCGAGGCAACACAAGAAGCCAACUACAAAUGAGAAUAUUAUUCUGUUGGUGCAGGUAUUGUUGCAUGUGGACCCCAUCAGCCUUGAAAAAUCCGUGCAAUGGAGUGAAACUUGACAAAGCAGUUGCAGUCAUUCACCAGUGAAGCAAAGUCUUCUUCCUAGUCACGCAGGAUUUUUUUGGGGGGAGAUAACUUGAUGCCUGGAGCUGCUGCUGCCAUUUUAUGUAAAUGACAACUAAGGAUAAAAACCACACACAUUACCCAAGGUACAGUAAAAGAAGAUAUUUUGGGAGGAAGAGAGAAAGCAAGAGAGAGAAACCAUAUUUUCAUAACUUUUGUUACAGUAUAUUGUUAUAAUUGUUCUAUUUUUAUUAUUAUUGUUGUCCAUAUCUUACAUUAAUUUAUAAAUUAAAUUU
Molecule: non-coding RNA, 542 nt
Filed under: Pongo abelii (Sumatran orangutan)
Lineage: Eukaryota; Metazoa; Chordata; Mammalia; Primates; Hominidae
Source: RNAcentral